This 253-nucleotide ribosomal RNA is filed under the name uncultured bacterium. Its description in RNAcentral is "partial 16S ribosomal RNA". It matches the Rfam family "Bacterial small subunit ribosomal RNA", at positions 524 to 776 of the family's 1533-position model. The record is from RNAcentral.
UACGAAGGGAGCUAGCGUUGCUCGGAAUCACUGGGCGUAAAGCGCACGUAGGCGGAUCUUUAAGUCAGGGGUGAAAUCCUGGAGCUCAACUCCAGAACUGCCCUUGAUACUGGGGAUCUUGAGUCCGGAAGAGGUGAGUGGAACUCCGAGUGUAGCGGUGAAAUGCGUAGAUAUCUGGAGGAACACCGGUGGCGAAGGCGGCAUCCUGGACCGGCAUUGACGCUGAGGCGCGAAAGCCAGGGGAGCAAACAGG